UACGUAGGGGGCAAGCGUUGUCCGGAAUCAUUGGGCGUAAAGCGCGCGUAGGCGGCUAGAUCAGUCUGCUGUAAAAGUCAAAGGCUCAACCUUUGAAAGCCGGUGGAUACUGUCUAGCUAGAGUCCGGAAGAGGCGAGUGGAAUUCCUGGUGUAGCGGUGGAAUGCGCAGAUAUCAGGAGGAACACCAAUGGCGAAGGCAGCUCUCUGGGACGGUACUGACGCUGAGACGCGAAAGCGUGGGGAGCGAACAGG
RNAcentral lists this ribosomal RNA (253 nucleotides) under uncultured bacterium. RNAcentral describes it as "partial 16S ribosomal RNA". It matches the Rfam family "Bacterial small subunit ribosomal RNA", at positions 524 to 776 of the family's 1533-position model. The record is from RNAcentral.